GUCGUCGAAUAUCGACGUCAUAAACACCAAAGUUGAUCGUGUUUAUGUCGUCGAAUAUCAACGUCAUCAACACGAAAGUUGAUCGUGUUUAUGUCGUCGAAUAUCGACGUCAUAAACACGUAAGUUGUUUGUGUUUAUGACGUCGAAUAUCGACGUCAUAAACACCAAAGUUGAUCGCGUUUAUGACGUCGAAUAUUGACGUCAUAAACACCAAAGUUGAUCGUGUUUAUCACGUCGAAUAUCGACGUC
This 249-nucleotide microRNA precursor is filed under the name Paramuricea clavata. The record is from RNAcentral. Lineage: Eukaryota; Metazoa; Cnidaria; Anthozoa; Malacalcyonacea; Plexauridae.